GAAAUGCGAUACUUGGUGUGAAUUGCAGAAUCCCGUGAACCAUCGAGUCUUUGAACGCACAUUGCGCCCUCUGGUAUUCCGGGGGGCAUGCCUGUCCGAGCGUCAUUGCUGCCCUCAAGCACGGCUUGUGUGUUGGGCCCCCGUCCCGGUUCUCCAGCCGGGACGGGCCCGAAAGGCAGCGGCGGCACCGUGUCCGGUCCUCGAGUGUAUGGGGCUCUGUCACCCACUCGUGUAGGUCCGGCCGGCGGCCAGCCUCAACCACAACUUUUUAACCAGGUUGACCUCGGAUCAGGUAGGGAUACCCGCUGAACUUAA
This 315-nucleotide unclassified non-coding RNA is filed under the name uncultured Aspergillus. RNAcentral describes it as "sequence contains ITS1". The stretch from base 1 to 105 matches the Rfam family "5.8S ribosomal RNA", at positions 50 to 154 of the family's 154-position model. Lineage: Eukaryota; Fungi; Ascomycota; Eurotiomycetes; Eurotiales; Aspergillaceae. The record is from RNAcentral.